This 253-nucleotide ribosomal RNA is filed under the name uncultured bacterium. RNAcentral's name for it is "partial 16S ribosomal RNA". It matches the Rfam family "Bacterial small subunit ribosomal RNA", at positions 524 to 776 of the family's 1533-position model. The record is from RNAcentral.
UACGUAGGGUGCGAGCGUUGUCCGGAAUUAUUGGGCGUAAAGGGCUGGUAGGCGGCCAACUAAGUCUGAUGUGAAAUCCCCAGGCUUAACCUGGGAACUGCAUCCGAUACUGGUUGGCUUGAAUCCGGGAGAGGGAUGCAGAAUUCCAGGUGUAGCGGUGAAAUGCGUAGAUAUCUGGAGGAAUACCGGUGGCGAAGGCGGCAUCCUGGACCGGCAUUGACGCUGAGGAGCGAAAGCUAGGGGAGCAAACGGG